Molecule: unclassified non-coding RNA, 520 nt
Filed under: uncultured Glomus
Lineage: Eukaryota; Fungi; Glomeromycota; Glomeromycetes; Glomerales; Glomeraceae
Description: SSU rRNA
Rfam family: Eukaryotic small subunit ribosomal RNA
Source: RNAcentral
AGCAGCCGCGGUAAUUCCAGCUCCAAUAGCGUAUAUUAAAGUUGUUGCAGUUAAAAAGCUCGUAGUUGAAUUUCGGGAUCAAUUCGUCGGUCGUGCUUUUUGGUACGUACUGGUGUUUAUUGGUUUCUCCCUUCUGACGAACCAUGAUGUCAUUAAUUUGGUGUUAUGGGGAGUUAGGACUGUUACUUUGAAAAAAUUAGAGUGUUUAAAGCAGGCAUUAGCUUGAAUACAUUAGCAUGGAAUAAUGAAAUAGGACGUUCGAUCCUAUUUUGUUGGUUUCUAGGAUCAACGUAAUGAUUAAUAGGGAUAGUUGGGGGCAUUAGUAUUCAAUUGUCAGAGGUGAAAUUCUUGGAUUAUUGGAAGACUAACUACUGCGAAAGCAUUUGCCAAGGAUGUUUUCAUUAAUCAAGAACGAAGGUUAGGGGAUCGAAGACGAUCAGAUACCGUCGUAGUCUUAACCAUAAACUAUGCCGACUAGGGAUCGGAUGAUGUUAAUUUUUUAAUGACUCAUUCGGCGCCU